GAUUUCUGGUUCGGCGCACUUGGCCCGUCUCGGUUUACGGGAUUGCGUGCCGGUGUGCGCCAUCCAUCCUUCGAGAGAACACUUCUACCCUCACGGGCUGGAGUGCUAUCUCGAUCUUUUACUUUGAAAAAAUUAGAGUGUUUAAAGCAGGCUUACGCUAUGAAUACAUUAGCAUGGAAUAAUAAUAUAGGACUUUGGUUCUAUUUUGUUGGUUUCUAGGACUGAAGUAAUGAUUGAUAGGGAUAGUUGGGGGUGCUAGUAUUCAGUGGCCAGAGGUGAAAUUCUUGGAUUCACUGAAGACUAACUACUGCGAAAGCAUU
RNAcentral lists this ribosomal RNA (320 nucleotides) under Cercomonas sp. Its description in RNAcentral is "SSU rRNA". The stretch from base 105 to 320 matches the Rfam family "Eukaryotic small subunit ribosomal RNA", at positions 738 to 955 of the family's 1831-position model. Lineage: Eukaryota; Cercozoa; Cercomonadida; Cercomonadidae. The record is from RNAcentral.